RNAcentral lists this ribosomal RNA (608 nucleotides) under uncultured bacterium. RNAcentral's name for it is "bacterial SSU rRNA". It matches the Rfam family "Bacterial small subunit ribosomal RNA", at positions 8 to 661 of the family's 1533-position model. The record is from RNAcentral.
AGAGUUUGAUCCUGGCUCAGAACGUACGCUGGCGGCACGCCUAAUACAUGCAAGUCGAACGAAGUAGCAAUACUUAGUGGCAGACGGGUGAGUAACAUGUGGGUAUCUUCCCUUUGGUGAGGAAUAACACGAGGAAACUUGUGCUAAUACCUCAUAAGUCUUUACAGAGAAAGCUUUAUGCGCCAUUGGAUGAGCCCGCACUUGAUUAGUUUGUUGGUGGGGUAAUAGCCUACCAAGACAAUGAUCAAUAGCUGAUUUGAGAGGAUGAUCAGCCACAUUGGGACUGAGACACGGCCCAAACUCCUACGGGAGGCAGCAGUAGGGAAUCUUGCACAAUGGAGGAAACUCUGAUGCAGCGAUGCCGCGUGAGUGAAGAAGGCCUUUGGGUUGUAAAGCUCUUUCGUCGGGGAAGAAAAUGACUGUACCCGAAUAAGAAGGUCCGGCUAACUUCGUGCCAGCAGCCGCGGUAAUACGAAGGGACCUAGCGUAGUUCGGAAUUACUGGGCUUAAAGAGUUCGUAGGUGGUUAAAAAAGUUGGUGGUGAAAUCCCAGAGCUUAACUCUGGAACUGCCAUCAAAACUUUUUAGCUAGAGUAUGAUAGAGGAAAG